This 253-nucleotide ribosomal RNA is filed under the name uncultured bacterium. RNAcentral's name for it is "partial 16S ribosomal RNA". It matches the Rfam family "Bacterial small subunit ribosomal RNA", at positions 524 to 776 of the family's 1533-position model. The record is from RNAcentral.
UACGUAGGGUGCAAGCGUUGUCCGGAAUUAUUGGGCGUAAAGGGCUCGUAGGCGGUCCAUCGCGUCGGGAGUGAAAAGCUGGGGCUUAACCCCAGUCCUGCUUCCGAUACGGGUGGACUAGAGGUAGGCAGGGGAGAACGGAAUUCCUGGUGUAGCGGUGAAAUGCGCAGAUAUCAGGAGGAACACCGGUGGCGAAGGCGGUUCUCUGGGCCUUACCUGACGCUGAGACGCGAAAGCGUGGGGAGCGAACAGG